Molecule: long non-coding RNA, 962 nt
Filed under: Apteryx owenii (little spotted kiwi)
Lineage: Eukaryota; Metazoa; Chordata; Aves; Apterygiformes; Apterygidae
Description: lncRNA (ENSAOWG00000016851.1)
Source: RNAcentral
CCCUGCCUAUGCGGCUGGCUCUGAAGUGCUGGGGGAAUCGGACUAAAUAAGAUUUGCCUGUGCUUUGCCCAGACUGGAGUGCCUCUGGAGAGCCGACUUAGCUUAUAUGGAUGUUACCUAGAAGAAAGGAGACUACUUGUUCCAGGCUCCACCAGUGUGACUGUUUUUAUGUUAGACUAUCAUCUACAAAGUGGGAAUAUAAUGGAGCUGAGAUAAGGAAGCAGCUGAUCUUCACCCCCUGCAUGAGAAUUGCAAGAGGCCACAUCAUUGCAUUCCCUCUUGCCUGUGUUCCUACCGGGMUUGUGGUGAUACCGUACCAUAAACUGCAUAUGAUGCUCAAGAGGUUUGACAUCAUCACGGUUCUGAGAGCUUCCUGGCUGGAUUAUGUCUCCCGUACCAUACCACCCUCUUCACACAAUUCCCAUGGUGUGUUUGGUGCCAGAAGGAAGGCUGCAGAGGUGACUGAGCCCUUUUCCUAAAAUCUGCCUUUGGUCAUUUCUAUUUUAUACUACUGAGCUUUUGUGAAAAUACAUCCUCUACUUCCUAGACAAGAGCUACUUUAAAGAACUGAAUCCAUACAGGCUGUAGCAUUUUCAAGGCCUCUUUAGAAAAGUCUGAACCUUACCACCUUUUCUAUGCUGGAAGAAGUGACUGUGAAGUGGCAUCAAGUAUAAAAAUUAAUGAAGGAUGGGGAAAACAGGUUGUAUUUUCCAAAAUGUAAAUACUACAAAUUCAAUCUGAGACUUGAAAAUGAAGCUUUUUUUAUUUUUCCCUUCUCUUGUUGUGCUGUAUUCAGUAAAAUUGUCACUGUGAGUGGAUUCUUGAGAUUCUUUGAGUCACAAAGCCUGAAAAAAGGUGUAUGAGCUCCUUUCCUUAUGAGGUGGUCUCUCUCUUUAUGCUGGUACUGGCAUGUCAAUCACUGGAGGUAUUCGAACAAACUUCUGCUAAUAAAGUGUGAAAAG